GUUCCCAUAGCUCAACUGGAUAGAGUAGCGGUUUCCUAAACCGUUGAUGGGGGUUCAAUUCCCUCUGGGGACGCCA
Molecule: transfer RNA, 76 nt
Filed under: Pseudobdellovibrionaceae bacterium
Lineage: Bacteria; Pseudomonadati; Bdellovibrionota; Bdellovibrionia; Bdellovibrionales; Pseudobdellovibrionaceae
Description: Bdellovibrionaceae bacterium (bioreactor metagenome) tRNA-Arg
Rfam family: tRNA
About the family: Transfer RNA (tRNA) molecules are approximately 80 nucleotides in length. Their secondary structure includes four short double-helical elements and three loops (D, anti-codon, and T loops). Further hydrogen bonds mediate the characteristic L-shaped molecular structure. tRNAs have two regions of fundamental functional importance: the anti-codon, which is responsible for specific mRNA codon recognition, and the 3' end, to which the tRNAs corresponding amino acid is attached (by aminoacyl-tRNA synthetases). tRNAs cope with the degeneracy of the genetic code in two manners: having more than one tRNA (with a specific anti-codon) for a particular amino acid; and 'wobble' base-pairing, i.e. permitting non-standard base-pairing at the 3rd anti-codon position.
Source: RNAcentral